This 76-nucleotide transfer RNA is filed under the name Sphaerodactylus townsendi. RNAcentral describes it as "tRNA-Ala". The record is from RNAcentral. Lineage: Eukaryota; Metazoa; Chordata; Lepidosauria; Squamata; Sphaerodactylidae.
UCAUGGGUCUUGGCUCAAUGGUUGAGCAUCUAUUUUGCAUGCAGAAGCUCCCAGAUUCAAUCCCUGGCAUUGUAAG